This 88-nucleotide transfer RNA is filed under the name Julbernardia paniculata. RNAcentral's name for it is "tRNA-Tyr". Lineage: Eukaryota; Viridiplantae; Streptophyta; Magnoliopsida; Fabales; Fabaceae. The record is from RNAcentral.
AAAGGAAGUUGAUCCUGGGAUUUUCAAUAAAGACUGAGAUUGACUCUUCCUGGGUCGAUGCCCGAGCGGUUAAUGGGGACGGACUGUA